Carya illinoinensis is the source of this 340-nucleotide long non-coding RNA. RefSeq lists it as uncharacterized. NCBI's taxonomy places the organism in Eukaryota, Viridiplantae, Streptophyta, Magnoliopsida, Fagales, Juglandaceae. The transcript is spliced from 3 exons. The record is from RefSeq and is a predicted model, not a curated record.
ACAACUGUAAGGACAAUACCGUAGUUGUAUCUCCACGAGGCGUCCUCCCCACGGGCUCCUCUGACCCCAUAUAAACUCCCUCGUCACACUCUUUUAACUCACGAUACUCGCAAACUUGUUUGGAUUUUGCACCCUCUCUCCCUUCCGCAUUCGUUUCUCGUCUCUCAAUUCUAGGGUUACUUUCAUUCUAACGCGCCGAAAAUAGCUUUUGUUCGGUUCUUCUCUGAUUUUUCUUGUUGGUUUUGAUCGAGGUUUCUGGGAACAAAGGGUUUCCGGAAGGAUUUUCUCGUUUUUAAUUGCGAUCUUUGUAUAAUUUUACAGUUAAUACAUCAAUGUCGCU